This 253-nucleotide ribosomal RNA is filed under the name uncultured bacterium. Its description in RNAcentral is "partial 16S ribosomal RNA". It matches the Rfam family "Bacterial small subunit ribosomal RNA", at positions 524 to 776 of the family's 1533-position model. The record is from RNAcentral.
UACGUAGGGUGCGAGCGUUAAUCGGAAUUACUGGGCGUAAAGCGUGCGCAGGCGGUUCGUUGUGUCGGUGGUGAAAGCCCCGGGCUUAACCUGGGAAUGGCCAUGGAAACUGGCGAACUGGAGUGUGGCAGAGGGGGGUGGAAUUCCGCGUGUAGCAGUGAAAUGCGUAGAGAUGCGGAGGAACACCGAUGGCGAAGGCAGCCCCCUGGGCUGAGAUUGACGCUCAGGCACGAAAGCGUGGGGAGCAAACAGG